This 327-nucleotide ribosomal RNA is filed under the name uncultured eukaryote. RNAcentral describes it as "partial 18S ribosomal RNA". It matches the Rfam family "Eukaryotic small subunit ribosomal RNA", at positions 1470 to 1796 of the family's 1831-position model. The record is from RNAcentral.
CCCCUAGAUGUUCUGGGCCGCACGCGCGCUACACUGAACAGUUCAACAAGUCUUAACCUUGGCCGAUAGGUCUGGGUAAUCUUUGAACGCUGUUCGUGAUUGGGAUAGACCUUUGCAAUUAUGGGUCUUCAACGAGGAAUUCCUAGUAAACGCAAGUCAUCAGCUUGCAUUGAUUACGUCCCUGCCCUUUGUACACACCGCCCGUCGCACCUACCGAUUGAACGUUUUAGUGAGGUAUUUGGACUGGACCUUCGGAGGUUCGCGCCUCCGUUGCUGUUCGGGAAGACUCCCAAACUUGAGCGUUUAGAGGAAGUAAAAGUCGUAACA